Molecule: long non-coding RNA, 1720 nt
Organism: Corvus hawaiiensis (hawaiian crow)
Lineage: Eukaryota; Metazoa; Chordata; Aves; Passeriformes; Corvidae
Exons: 4
Source: RefSeq, a predicted model, not a curated record
UGGAAAGGAAACAAUGCAGCACAAAAAAAGGGAAACGACAUCAUGAGAUGCACUUGGCAAAGCAUCACUCAUCCCCAGCUGCUGUGUACAAUUAGAGUUUGUACCUGGAUAGAAAUUAUGGCAUGGCCCAUCAUCCAGUACAUCAAGAUGAGUGAUUGAGGGGUAAAUGCACAGAAGUGUUGUGAUGUUGGACUGCAAUGUGCUUUUCUGCAAAAAGUACCUGCAGGGUGCCUUAAAGGAGAAGCAGACAAUCUUCUUUAAAAUUAGACAAGGGUCUUGCAGAAGGUUAAUUUUGAAAUGCCAUGGGAAUACAGGAAGAUUGUGUAUGACUGAAUGCUUGUUAUGCAGAAAGCUUCACAGGAACUGGUAAAGACAGCAAACAAAACAGAGUGAAAGAAACUGGAUUGGUGCUCAUGAUAGAAGCAAGCAGUGAAGUUCAGAUCCUCUCGGGAAUAUUUCUGGAAGAAUUGAACUGUAGCUUUUGCCUUCAACUAUGAUGCAAUAUCUAUUCCAGGGAAGUUAAAAUUCCCCUACCCACUUCUACACGUGCUCACCAGUACUCAGUAUUCAGUCACAGAAGAACUUUAAUAGAAAAGGAGAAGGGAAAAAAUCCAAAUAGGUACCUAAGCCACUAAUAUUAAAUAGAUUUGCAAUUUUGUGGUGCAAUUGGAUGCUAGUAGAAUGGAGCCUGGCUGUGGCUUACAGAAAAGCACUCUUCCAAAGCAGAUAGCAUAAAACUUUCCUCACAUAUCUCUGACAGUAAAAAUCAGGCCAAAUUUCCUGUACUCUCAGCAUUGGAAGACUUGAGACCAACCUUAAGUAAGGACUGGCAGACAUGUUUAGGUGUUUGGUCACCCAGACAAGUGGAAAAUGCUCAAAUACUAUUUCUAAAUUUCCUGGUUGAAGUGCUGUGUAUUCCUGUGCAUCAUGUCAAGUCAUUUUGUGGCACAUUGUCUAACAGAAUGUGACUGAUGCUAUGCCUCAGAAACAGAAGUAAUUGACAGUGCGUAAUCUAAUUCAUGAAAACAUGACCUUCAGAAGAUGUACUUUGAGAUAUAUGGCAUGUAAUAUUCUCAAAUAUCCUUUCCCUUAAUUUCUGUUCACCUGACUGCGGACUUUUCUUAGUGGCUUGUCCCUCAUGACAAUGUAUUUGGUGUCAUUCCUUUUCAGAAAUAUCUUUUAAUUUCCACAGUCUUUGAACCAGGAUUUCCAUAUUUUUCCAUCUUGUAAUAACUUGAACAGGUUAUGUUGAGUAUUUCAAAAAUUUGGAAGUGGAAUUCUUAAUUUUUUCUUUGGAAUUAUGAAAGUUUAGAUGUGAUAAAUUAGACUCAUGUAACAAUUAAGAUAUGAAUGUGUACUCUGCAUACAGUUUUCUUUCAUGCAUACUUGUAAGCUGUUAUAUCUUUAAAGAGUUCCCUAAAAAUCUCAAUGAGUGUGGUAAAUCAAUUCAUAAACUGUAACAGCUUUCUAAUGAUUUCGCUUCAAAUGGAAACUAAAUGAAAAGAGUCUUGGUUAAUAUAUUUGAUUCAACUGUAUUAUCCUUAUCUAUUAUCCUUUCAAUAUUUUGUAAUCUGGAAAACAUAGGUUAAACUAUGUUCUGUCACUUAACAUAAAAUUAUCAAUAGAUAUGUUAUUCAUAAAAUGAGAUAAUAAGCACACAAAUACUUAAUUCAUCCUGUUUCCUUUAGUUUAAUCUUUGAUAGAAGCUGAUCAGUGCAAC